Aricia agestis (brown argus) is the source of this 185-nucleotide long non-coding RNA. RefSeq lists it as uncharacterized. Lineage: Eukaryota; Metazoa; Arthropoda; Insecta; Lepidoptera; Lycaenidae. The transcript is spliced from 3 exons. The record is from RefSeq and is a predicted model, not a curated record.
GUUUCAAGGCCCUGAUGCCAGAGUACGACUGGCUAGCCAAUCAGCGCUUCGCACGCGCACCCUUCGUCCCUCUAGCCCCCUGAGAGACCUUAUUUUUUACUUAGUGCGCAAUAACUGUCAGCGCUAAAGAUACGUGCCGAUACCUAUACAAGCCAGUUUUAUUCAUUUGUGAAGUGAUGAUGAUG